AGAGAAUAGAUACCCAGGUAGUCCCAGCCGUAAACGAUGCUCGCUAGGUGUCAGGCAUGGCGCGACCGUGUCUGGUGCCGCAGGGAAGCCGUGAAGCGAGCCACCUGGGAAGUACGGCCGCAAGGCUGAAACUUAAAGGAAUUGGCGGGGGAGCACAACAACGGGUGGAGCCUGCGGUUUAAUUGGACUCAACGCCGGACAACUCACCGGGGGGUCGACAGCAAUAUGUAGGCCAAGCUGAAGACUUUGCCUGAAUCGCUGAGAGGAGGUGCAUGGCCGUCGCCAGUUCGUACUGUGAAGCAUCCUGUUAAAGUCAGGCAACGAGCGAGACCCGUGCCCACUGUUACCAGCAUGUCCUCCGGGACGAUGGUACUCUGUGGGGACCGCCUAUGUUAAACUAGGAGGAAGGUGCGGGCCGACGGUAGGUCAGUAUG
This 434-nucleotide ribosomal RNA is filed under the name uncultured bacterium. Its description in RNAcentral is "bacterial SSU rRNA". It matches the Rfam family "Archaeal small subunit ribosomal RNA", at positions 724 to 1153 of the family's 1478-position model. The record is from RNAcentral.